UGCAGAGUUAUUUGAAACAUAAAGAUUAAGUAAAAGAAAAUCCUUAGUAUUGCUUCGUUAUUGUCGUUAUCCUCAGUGGUUCCCUUAGCUUCAUCGUCACAUUCAAUAAUUCAAGCUAUCAGCGCAGUCGCAAUUUCGCGAUAACUUUAUGAAUUUAAUUAUAUAAGGGACAUAUCAUGUCUAAGACUACUGGCAUCGUAAAAUGGUUUAACGAAGAGAAAGGUUUCGGUUUCAUUACUCAAGACAACGGCGGUGCUGACGUAUUCGUUCACUUCCGUGCUAUCGCUUCUGAAGGCUUCAAAACACUUGCGGAAGGCCAAAAGGUUUCUUUCGAAGUUGAACAAGGUCAAAAAGGCCCACAAGCUUCUAACGUUGUAGCGUUAUAAUCUUGUAAGCCGACGCAAAUGGUUUUUAACCAUUUGCGUCACU
Molecule: small RNA, 429 nt
Filed under: Vibrio tapetis subsp. tapetis
Lineage: Bacteria; Pseudomonadati; Pseudomonadota; Gammaproteobacteria; Vibrionales; Vibrionaceae
Description: cspA thermoregulator
Rfam family: cspA thermoregulator
Source: Rfam by way of RNAcentral